Mus musculus (house mouse) is the source of this 640-nucleotide long non-coding RNA. RefSeq annotates it as predicted gene, 53734. NCBI's taxonomy places the organism in Eukaryota, Metazoa, Chordata, Mammalia, Rodentia, Muridae. The record is from RefSeq and is a predicted model, not a curated record. The transcript is spliced from 3 exons.
ACCUUGAAUUGGGGGGUGGGGGUAUAGAAAGCUCUACUACAGCCUCGGCAUGAAGACCCAACAUGGCCUCGGUAAGCAAUGCUAGCCACACGGACCAGGUUCCUGCACAUUCGGAAUUUUUGUGGAUCCUGGAAUAGAGACACAUUCUGAUGACUAAGACCAGAGGACAAAGGCUUUCCAGUGCAAUGCAUAGCAGCACAGAAGCAUACAAGGAGGCUUCGUAGAGGGAGGGACCCCCUGCACAGGACCCAGGCUUGGAACCAGUCAUUGGCCAGACACAGAAAGGGAUAGUUGUUCCAAGUAAAGAACAGCCUCUGAGUGGAGCCUGCAGAGUGGAGGAAGGAUGCGGCUGAAAUCCUGGACCAGGCAGAGGACCACAGCACUCCCAGAAAGGGACAUGGGACUUGGACGUCCUUGCUGCAGUCGCAGGAAUAAAGUAUGUCUUACUACCAGGCACAAGAUUUGCUAGAUAGCAAGGCAAGAAGCUUGUGGCAAGAUAAGAGUGUAUAGUUUCAAGGUUUGUGUUUUGCUUUUGUUCAAAAUUGUUCUCAAAUUAGUAAUCCCCCUGCCUCAGUUUCUUUCAUGCUAAGAUUCUAAGAGCCGGACAUCAAGACCAAAUGACCAAGUCCUCCAUCCCAAC